AACGCGAAGAACCUUACCAAAUCUUGACAUCCUCUGACCCCUCUAGAGAUAGAGUUUUCCCCUUCGGGGGACAGAGUGACAGGUGGUGCAUGGUUGUCGUCAGCUCGUGUCGUGAGAUGUUGGGUUAAGUCCCGCAACGAGCGCAACCCUUAAGCUUAGUUGCCAUCAUUAAGUUGGGCACUCUAAGUUGACUGCCGGUGACAAACCGGAGGAAGGUGGGGAUGACGUCAAAUCAUCAUGCCCCUUAUGAUUUGGGCUACACACGUGCUACAAUGGACAAUACAAAGGGUAGCGAAACCGCGAGGUCAAGCAAAUCCCAUAAAGUUGUUCUCAGUUCGGAUUGUAGUCUGCAACUCGACUAUAUGAAGCUGGAAUCGCUAGUAAUCGUAGAUCAGCAUGCUACGGUGAAUACGUUCCCGGGCCUUGUACACACCGUAGUAC
RNAcentral lists this ribosomal RNA (441 nucleotides) under uncultured bacterium. Its description in RNAcentral is "bacterial SSU rRNA". It matches the Rfam family "Bacterial small subunit ribosomal RNA", at positions 958 to 1398 of the family's 1533-position model. The record is from RNAcentral.